CGUCUUGGCGGCUGUGCGUGGGAGAUCCUCGGAUCUGCCGGGCUCCUAUACCCCCGGUUCGCUAACCUGCGUACAGUCGCCACCAUU
RNAcentral lists this non-coding RNA (87 nucleotides) under Pseudomonas sp. ok272. The record is from RNAcentral. RNAcentral also lists the same sequence under 1 other name. Lineage: Bacteria; Pseudomonadati; Pseudomonadota; Gammaproteobacteria; Pseudomonadales; Pseudomonadaceae.